UUUGCUAUACUCACCCUCAGAAACUUCCAGGAGUGAGCAAAGACGGGCAAAUCCGGCAUUUUUUCCACCGACCAUCAAAGGCCUACACGACCGGAACAAGAAAACGGCGCAAAGUCCACACCGACGAGGAAGGCAACGAGACACGUUGGCACAAAACCGGGAAAACCCGACCGGUAUUCAUCGGCGGCGCCGUCAAAGGUUUCAAGAAAAUCCUCGUCCUUUACACCAACUACGGCCGCCAAAGAAAGCCGGAAAAAACCAACUGGGUCAUGCACCAAUACCACCUCGGCAACAACGAGGAAGAGAAAGACGGCGAAUUAGUCGUGUCCAAAGUUUUUUACCAAACCCAGCCCCGACAAUGCAGCUCCACCGCCGCCGCCACCAACAACAAUAAUCCCCUUCUCCAAUCAGAAAUCAAAUUCAAAAAUGCCGCCAACCACCACCGCCACCACCCCGAUUCCACCGCCACCGGCGCUGUCGAUUAUUACAACGCCGCGGCAUCCAAUAAUAAUACUAAUUUCAUUAGUUUCGAUCACAACUCCG
RNAcentral lists this unclassified non-coding RNA (543 nucleotides) under Hevea brasiliensis (rubber tree). The record is from RNAcentral. Lineage: Eukaryota; Viridiplantae; Streptophyta; Magnoliopsida; Malpighiales; Euphorbiaceae.